UACGUAGGGGGCUAGCGUUGUCCGGAAUCAUUGGGCGUAAAGCGCACGUAGGCGGCCUAGCAAGUAGGGAGUGAAAGCCCUCGGCUUAACCGAGGAAGUGCUUUCUAAACUACUAGGCUUGAAUACUGGAGAGGGUCGCGGAAUUCCCGGUGUAGAGGUGAAAUUCGUAGAUAUCAGGAAGAACACCUAUGGCGAAGGCAGCUCUCUGGGACGGUACUGACGCUGAGACGCGAAAGCGUGGGGAGCGAACAGG
This 253-nucleotide ribosomal RNA is filed under the name uncultured bacterium. Its description in RNAcentral is "partial 16S ribosomal RNA". It matches the Rfam family "Bacterial small subunit ribosomal RNA", at positions 524 to 776 of the family's 1533-position model. The record is from RNAcentral.